RNAcentral lists this ribosomal RNA (253 nucleotides) under uncultured bacterium. RNAcentral's name for it is "partial 16S ribosomal RNA". It matches the Rfam family "Bacterial small subunit ribosomal RNA", at positions 524 to 776 of the family's 1533-position model. The record is from RNAcentral.
UACGUAUGGUGCAAGCGUUAUCCGGAUUUACUGGGUGUAAAGGGAGCGUAGGCGGCGCGUUAAGUCUGAUGUGAAAACCCGAGGCUCAACCACGGGAGUGCAUUGGAAACUGGCGGGCUGGAGUGCCGGAGAGGUAAGCGGAAUUCCUAGUGUAGCGGUGAAAUGCGUAGGUAUUAGGAGGAACACCAGUGGCGAAGGCGGCUUACUGGACGGCAACUGACGCUGAGGCUCGAAAGCGUGGGGAGCAAACAGG